Molecule: long non-coding RNA, 470 nt
Organism: Gordionus sp. m RMFG-2023
Lineage: Eukaryota; Metazoa; Nematomorpha; Gordioida; Chordodea; Parachordodidae
Exons: 3
Source: RefSeq, a predicted model, not a curated record
GAUAGCUUUCUAACGGAUAUUACACAAUAUCUGUAAAUCGAAAUGAAUAACCAGGGAUAUUACACAAUAUCUGUACAUCAAAUUGAAUAACUGAAAACCAACUUUCUAACGGAUAUUACACAAUAUCUGUAAAUCGAAUUGAAUAACCAGGGAUAUUACACAAUAUCUGUACAUCGAAUUGAAUAACUGAGAACCAAAUAGCUUUCUCAGGGAUAUUAGAUAAUGUUAUUUCCCUGAUCUCGGGCCUGCCCGUACCUACAACAACAAAUUGACUAUUGGAUGAAAUCUCAAUCAAUUCCACAUAUCUCCUAUGAAAUAUCCAAGGGUACUCAAGCCGAAUAAUUUAAACAACAUUAAUUAGAACACAACGCCCCCACGCUUAUAAUAAAUAUAUAUCGUGAUUAUAACAAAUUAUACUGUUGUUGCGUUUUCUGAUUAAUAUAUUACUAUUCGUACAUAAUAUUAUUCAC